RNAcentral lists this transfer RNA (85 nucleotides) under Felis catus (domestic cat). It matches the Rfam family "tRNA". From Rfam's summary of the family: Transfer RNA (tRNA) molecules are approximately 80 nucleotides in length. Lineage: Eukaryota; Metazoa; Chordata; Mammalia; Carnivora; Felidae. The record is from Rfam by way of RNAcentral.
GCCUGGGUGGCUCAGUUGGUUGAGUGUCCGACUUCAGCUCAGGUCAUGAUCUUAUGGUUAGUGAGUUCAAACCCCACAUCAGGCU